AUUGAACGCUAGCGGGAUGCUUUACACAUGCAAGUCGAACGGCAGCGCGGACUUCGGUCUGGCGGCGCGUGGCGAACGGGUGAGUAAUGUAUCGGAACGUGCCCAGUAGCGGGGGAUCACUACGCGAAAGCGUAGCUAAUACCGCAUACGCCCUACGGGGGAAAGCAGGGGAUCGUAAGACCUUGCACUAUUGGAGCGGUCGAUAUCGGCUUAGCUAGUUGGUGAGGUAACGGCUCACCAAGCCGACGAUCCGUAGCCGGUUUGAGAGGACGACCAGCCACACUGGGACUGAGACACGGCCCAGACUCCUACGGGAGGCAGCAGUGGGGAAUUUUGGACAAUGGGGGCAACCCUGAUCCAGCCAUCCCGCGUGUGCUAUGAAGGCCUUCGGGUUGUAAAGCACUUUUGGCAGGAAAGAAACGUCGCGGGCUAAUACCCCGUGGAACUGACGGUACCUGCAGAAUAAGCACCGGCUAACUACGUG
This 484-nucleotide ribosomal RNA is filed under the name uncultured bacterium. Its description in RNAcentral is "partial 16S ribosomal RNA". It matches the Rfam family "Bacterial small subunit ribosomal RNA", at positions 30 to 507 of the family's 1533-position model. The record is from RNAcentral.